UAAGGGAGCAGGCAAAGCUGAUGUUGGCUUCCUACAAAACUGAGCAGGGUUAGGCUUUGGGAAGGAGAACGGUUCAUUUGGAGUCGUUGUGCCAAGGCGUGUUCAGCUGGCAAUGAGGAACAACGAGGAGCCCAAACUUCUUGGUUCUGUUACCAUUGCUGAUGGUGUUGUGUUGCCUGACAGCCACAUGUCACUGCCUAAGAGAACUGGUUCUGGCCCGAAGGUCCUGCUGAUGUUGACCGCCACAGAUUUUCAUGUAACCUUUCCGCCCUUUAAUGUGAAUGAGAUCC
Molecule: unclassified non-coding RNA, 290 nt
Filed under: Hevea brasiliensis (rubber tree)
Lineage: Eukaryota; Viridiplantae; Streptophyta; Magnoliopsida; Malpighiales; Euphorbiaceae
Source: RNAcentral